AUGGGAUUUGGGGAUCUGGGAUUUCUUGGAUUCUGGGAUUUCCAAGAUCUGGAGAUUCCCAGGAUUCAGGGAUUCCCAAAAGUUUGGGAUUUUUUGCAUUCUGAGACUUCCAGGAUUCCCACGAUUCAGAAAUUCCCAGGAUUUGGCAUUCCUGGCAUUCCCAGGACUUGGGGAUUCCCAGGAUUUUGGGAUUCCCAAAAUUCCGGAAUUCCCAUUUUCCCGCCUCAGGAUCGGCGCCGCCCCCGCAGAUUUUGGGGAUUUUUGGUGUUCCCCAAAACCCCAAAUUUGGGGAUUUGGAGCGGUUUGGGGGUGGGGGAUGGGCGGUGCCGGGGCUUUCCCGGCGUUCCCGGGAUGAUUUUGGGAUUUCCUGAGAUGAUUUUGGGAUUUCCCGGGAUGAUUUUGGGAUUUCCUGAGAUGAUUUUGGGAUUUCCCGGGAUGAUUUUGGGAUUUCCCGGGAUGAUUUUGGGAUUUCCCGGGAUGAUUUUGGGAUUUCCCGGGAUGAUUUUGGGAUUUCCCGGGAUGAUUUUGGGAUUUCCCGGGACAAUCCCAAAUCCACCCUCGGCUUCCGCUUUUCCUUCGUGGCAAAAUCCCGAAUUUCCAUCCUGGGGAGCGCCGAGAUUUUCAUGGGAGUGGGGGAAAAAUGGGAUUCAGAGGUGGAAAAUCGGGAUCCAGGGGUGGAAAAAGGGGAUCCAGGGGUGGAAAAUUGGGAUCCAGGGGUGGAAAAUCGGGAUUCAGGGGUGGAAAAUCGGGAUCCAGUCAUGGAAAACAGAAUCCAGCGGAAAAAAAUGGGGAUCCAGGCUUGGAAAUUUGGGAUCUGGGGGUGGAAAUUUGGGAUCCAGGCUUGGAAAUUUGGGAUCCAGGCAUGAAAAUUUGGGAUCCAGGUGUGGAAAUUUGGGAUCCAGGUGUGGAAAUUNNNNNNNNNNAAAUUUGGGAUCCAGGUGUGGAAAUUUGGGAUCCAGGUGUGGAAAUUCGGGAUCCGGGGGUGGAAAUUCAGGAUCUGGGAGCGGCUCCCAGCCCCGAUCCCGCCUGGAUCUGCCCCGAGUUCCCUCCGGAAUUCCCGGGAUUCCUGGAAUUCCCAGAAUUCCCAGCCCUUUCUCGCUCGCUUGGCGCUCCCUCACUAACCCCCGACGCUGCCGCGCCCCAAAAUCCCGGAAUUCCCCCAAAUCCUCGGGAUCCCCGGGAAUCCACGCCGGGAUUGGGGUGAAAAUCCAGGAAUUCGAAAUCCAGGGAUUCAAAACGCAAGGAUUCAAAAUCCAGGGAUCAAAAUCCAAAGAUUCAAAAUCCAAGGAUUUAAAAUCCAGGCAUCAAAAUCCAGGAAUGGGAAUUUUUGGGGGGAUUUUUGCCGUUCCCAUGGGAAUUCCGCUCCAGGAGCGUCCCAGGGGAUUUUUCCUCCUCCUGCUUCCCGAAAUUCCUCGGGAAUGGGAAUUUGGGGGGGCUGGGGGAUCCCUGGGCUUGUUUUUUCUGGAAUGUUUUUCUGGAGCCGCUUUUGGGUGGAUUUUUCCCAUUCCUGCCUCCCAAAAAUCCCUUAAAAGUAGGAUUUAG
This 1542-nucleotide long non-coding RNA is filed under the name Chloebia gouldiae (Gouldian finch). RNAcentral describes it as "Erythrura gouldiae (Gouldian finch) lncRNA (ENSEGOG00005017487.1)". Lineage: Eukaryota; Metazoa; Chordata; Aves; Passeriformes; Passeridae. The record is from RNAcentral.